UAUCAAAAAAUAUAUUAAUUUUAAAUUAUCCUAAAUGUAAAAAGACAUUUAUAAUAAAGAAAGACGACAAGACCCUAUAGAACUUAACUAUAGUUAAACUGGGGCAGUUAAUUAAUUAAAAUUUUAAUUUAAUAAUAAAAUUUAUCUUAACCUAAUAUUAUUAACAAUAUGACUAAGUUACCUUAGGGAUAACAGCGUAAUAUAAUUUUUAAGAUCUUAUUUAAAAUUAAGUUUACGACCUCGAUGUUGAUUUAAUUUUCCUAAAAUAACGCAAUAGUUAUAAAAGGAAGUCUGUUCGACUUUUAAAAAAUUACAACGUGAGUGUUCAGAUCGGUGUAAC
RNAcentral lists this ribosomal RNA (340 nucleotides) under Piratula procurva. Its description in RNAcentral is "partial 16S ribosomal RNA". Lineage: Eukaryota; Metazoa; Arthropoda; Arachnida; Araneae; Lycosidae. The record is from RNAcentral.